Molecule: long non-coding RNA, 578 nt
Organism: Aphis gossypii (cotton aphid)
Lineage: Eukaryota; Metazoa; Arthropoda; Insecta; Hemiptera; Aphididae
Exons: 3
Source: RefSeq, a predicted model, not a curated record
UAAUAUGUUCUAUAGCAGAGUUAUUAAUGGCUUCGGUUUGAUUUGUUGUAUGGACGGCUAUUACGAUAAUCGUAUUUUCAAGGCUUCGUUGCACCCUAUUUGUUUAAGCGAAUAGUUAAGAUUUAACUUACAAUAUACUGAUCGUUUUAAAAUCUACAUAUUCAAUGAAUGUUCAACAAAAUUACAUCUUACACCCUUCAGUAAUCACACAUAUUUAAAUAUAUAACUCCAAGCAAUCAAAUAAAACUCAAAGCUAUGUAAAUUUAACAUCAAAUUGAAAACAUGUGUCUUGCCGGAACGUUGCACAAUGUUUUUUAUUGUUUCUACCUUAUAGACAGAUGAAAUAUCUUUUUGACAAAAAUUAAACCGUUCCAAUGCGAUAUUUACGGAAAACAAUAUGACAGUAAAUAGCACAUGCUAGCAAAAUAAAACAUACACGGCAACGACUUACCUCGACAUUACAUGCAGAUUGAACUUGACUAUAGAACUAGAACGAACCAAUGUAACACAAUUACCAAAUCAUUAAAAACAACUAAUUUUGUUGAAUAUAGUUUUAAUAUUCACAUCUGCAGGUAUGU